Molecule: long non-coding RNA, 6585 nt
Organism: Gasterosteus aculeatus aculeatus (three-spined stickleback)
Lineage: Eukaryota; Metazoa; Chordata; Actinopteri; Perciformes; Gasterosteidae
Source: Ensembl
CGCGGAUACCGAGGGGAGGGGGGAGAGAGGGAGGGGGUGCUCGAUGCUGCGAAGAAUAAAUAUAUAAAACAUAUCACUAUGAACGCGAUCAGAAGUCCAGCUUUUUCGUAUCUACAAAUUAUUAUCUCGUCGACAAAAAGGAACUAUUACAAAAAAAAAUAACAGAUCCACACAACACAAUGGCACGUUAGCCACGUUAGCUCAACACUGCUAGCCAAACGCUGUUAGCUAAACAAUGUUAGCUUCGUCCGGCAGCAGCAGUUUGGCGCCAAUUCGAGGCUGACAGAAAAACGACCUUAUCAAGACAAGAGACGCGCAUCUCCGCUCGUUCAUUCAGAAGGUAUUUUAGAUGAGAGAAAAUGGAUACAAUCACACAAGAAGAUUACAGUCCAAACACUGAGAGUGAGCUUACUUCACCAUUUCCCCCCAAACGGCCGAGGACAGACUGUACACACAACAACGGUGGCAAAAGCAGUUUUGCAUUUCCGGAACUUGUGACGUUUUGGAAAACCGUCGGCUCCUCAUCAUCGACAAGUACCUGGCAGGAAAAUGCAGGUUUACUACGCGCAGCAGAAGGUGGUGAUAUGGAAGAGCAACUACAAGACGCUCCAUUUAUUGUCAUUCCUAUUGCGAGCUUGACUACGUCACACACUGGAUCGUCUGACGUCAGCUCAAUCUCUGCAGAGAGAUGCUUCAAACUUCUGGUGAGAGAUGAGCAGCCUCCAAUCCCUCCAACCGACAAACUCAGCUCCACCGUGCCAGAUGAUGAAGAUCGGGCUGUAGCAGAGACCUGCACUUCGAAAGAAGGCAACGCUGAUACGUCCAGUCAGCCUGAUAGCAAACUGCUGGGGGAAGCGUGUGAAGACGAGGCGCUUGGAAAUAACAGCGCUGGAGCACUGGUGCAGAAUAGUGCCAGUCAAAUCCAAGCAUUGCAGGUCAGUUCAAGCGACUAUGGGCUCAGAUAUCAGUCUGGUUGCACUUCUGAAAAUGAAAGUAAUCAGGAGUGGCAAGAGCCUGGAUUCACAGAGACUAUCGUAUUCAGCGAGGAAGAUACAGUCUUAUAUCUUUCACUGAUUCUUUCUACUCAAACCCACAACGCUCAGGGAACUUAGCACAGAUUUGUGAAAAUAUUGCUAUAUGUAAGCAGGAAACAGAAGACCAAGUCAAUGAGAAUUGCACGAGCAUGAACUCCCCAUGAACCAGAAGGAUCAAUUGUUUCUUAUGAUGUUGUUUCACUCAGAAACAUUCCAAUUGAGAGGUUGAGUCUUGAUGCUGAUGACUUCUGUGGGGAAAAAGGAGAAGAGGCUGGUGCUAAGAUGAUAGCCCGAGCUCAGAGCAAAACGUCUGAUCACACGACAGGGACUCCCGUGCCUGCACAAAUCUGUCAAGGGCCUGCUGAAGGAGAUAAUGAUGCAAGUCCUUUCGCUGUAAUUGAACCUGCAAUCUGGAGUGAAACUGACAGGGAGGAAGAGAAGAGCUGCAACUCAGGGAGCGCUGCCGCCGGUGUACAAUCACUUCCAUCAGUAAAAGUCUGCACCAUGGAAACCCCUCUCCCCCUCUGCGCCCACGUCCGGCUAUCAAAGGAGGUUUUAACCCUCAACCAGAAUGGAAAGUCAGAUCACCAAAGCCUUACGCAGCAGCGCGAAGAUGGAAAAGAGGACUUAUGUCAGUCAUUCACUGAACCACUGGCUGGUUCUAUCACCACCAACGAAACACACAACAACAGCAGCUGUCACGGGGAAACCGGAGUCAGCCAUGAUACUGUGGGGCAUCAGUUGAAAGAGUCAGAUCGGUCCGGCUGUUUUCAUGUCAGUCCUGAACGAAUGAAGACAAAGGAGGUUGAAUAUUUACAGGCUGAAAUCACCAGAACGGACGGGACAACUGAGAUAAAAGAAAACGGAGGAAUGACAAGUUUUGAAGAAGAAAUAAGAACCGGUGAGCAACCAGAAAACUCCCAGGACACAGAAGAAGCAACGGAAACAUCAUCUGGUAAUUCCAUCAGGCACCGGACCGAAGGCAAAACUAGUAAAUAUGACGACAAACUAACACAUGUGGAUGACGCGUUGAAAAAUAUACUUGGAUUUCUGUCUGAUCACCCCUACAAUGCUGUGAUUUUACCAACGGAAGAAGCAGCGGGUGAAGAGGAAAGAAAAGAAGAGGCAAGUGUGGGUGCAGAACGCGACAUGUACGGUAGCUCGGAGAUAGUUGUGGAACGGGAGAAGGAAGACAUGCCUGAGGAAUGGAUCAGUGAACGGACAGAGGGACACAAUUUAACCCUGGGGAGUCAACGUGAACAAGAACACAAGCUCAGUUGUGUCUCGGACUUUCAACACACAGCUGAGACAUACGUGGUUGAUAAUAGAGAUGACCCUUCGACCUUGACUGCCUUCCCCUUCAACGGACGUCUGCCAGGAGGAAUUGACACGUUCGAAAGGAUCCAACUCUCCCUGGAUGGUGAUGAAGACGGCCUGAGCGAGAGCCUUCUCCUCAGCAGCCUACCUGAGCAGCUGCUGACAUCACCUCAGCAACAGCUCCAUAAGCACGAGGAGGUACCGCAGGAGGAAGAGGAGGAAACAUCUGGUCGUCACCCUGAGAACAAGGCAAAGGGCUUUUCAGGCAUCUAUAGCAUGUGUAAUGAAGUCCCCGACUGGAUCUCAGCAGCAGCAGAAGACAUCGCUCUCGUACGUCCAGAGCAACCGGCAAACUGUGGGAGGACUCACAACUCCCCCGAGUGCUUCCAGGGCGACUUCCAGUCCAGUGUUCCCCCCAGCAGCGAGGGUCCAGCCUCUGACGUAGACGACAGUCUGACCUUUGAGAAGAAAGAGCUGUUCAACAAGGUCUUGAAAGAGCUGAACCUGUUUUUUAGCAUCAGCACAAGUGAUUUCACAAGAGACAGCGGUGCAUCGUCCUCUGAGCAGUGUGUUCGUGUGUCUGGAGCCUCGGAUCGAGACAACUGCAAAGAAGAUCUCAGCAUCGCAAAACUAGGAUGCUAUGGAGACCCAUCGCCAGACUCCGGCCUGGAAAUGUGUGCUGGGGAUCCAGAUGUUUCUCCUACCUGUGAAGGCGAGCAGGAGGUUCCCCUCGGCAGCCAUCUGUGCACCGAGGAGACUCACAAAGAGCCCCCGCAGAGGAAGAGAUGGUCUCCGUCCUUCCCGGGUCCCCCUCUCCUGGAACAACUGGGCUACAGACAGCCGGAGCAGACGAGGCGGCUGGAGCCUCUGCGAACAUGCAACCGGCCCAUCCGGGUCGGACUCUCAAAGAGAGCCAAGACCAAACACCUGCACCCCCCGCCCUGCCGGGGGGCUUCGCUGCCUUAAACAGGACGGAGCGACGAGUGAUGGCUGUUCAUGUGUUGUGUUCUCUGCUUCAUCGCUCUCCAGGCUCCGGUUCCUGCUUCUUUAUUCAGGUUAUACGCUAAUAAGCCAGAUGCUGCUGCCAAGUAAGGAAUCCUGCUCUGUGUCCACAUUGUCCCUGCUCAAAGUAGUAUUCUAGUUUUCAUAUCUUCCCCAAUUUUUAUGCACUGAUCUAUUUAUAUAUUUAUGUAUUUAUUGGCUUUCUUUCAACCCAGAUUAGGGUUGAAAAAAGCACAUAUAUGUUAUUAGGGCAAAACUCAAUUCCUAGUUCUUUGAAUUAGUUGUGACGUGUAAUCGUUUGCUCUCUGCUGUAACGUCUUCUCUGUGCAACGUGUUCCGUGGAACGUCACUGCGAGUUGAAUGUGAAAAUAACCAGUUCCCCAUUCAAUUAAAUACUGUACUUGCAUACAAACGUGUUUUUAAUAUAUAUAUAUACACACACAUGACUCUUUUGGCAACACAUGAAUUAACAUCAAUGAGCUGGUUCCAAAUGAACGUCUCCAGUCGCUGCUCGGGCUCCGAGGCGGUCCGGCUGAGCUCCCAGGUGGACGAUGGACUCAGCUGUUGUGGUAAGUGGUAAGAGAGCUAUUUGGUCUACCUCCUGAAUGGGAACGGGGGGGGAGGUUGGUUGUUUAUCCUCACGUGCGCGGGUGAGACAGAUCCAGGGACAGUAGUGAGGAAAACAACAGGACAGCAGCCAUGUCAGUGAACAAUGGAUCCAUGUUCCCUUCACUGGAAGUCCUCUUUGUAAAAGAGCAGAAUGAAAAUGCAGAAAUGACAUCACACGAUUCUUUUAUCUGUAUAACGACUAAUUAGGACUUCUUCCCCUGCUGGAGCCCCGCAGGGUAUUUUACCAAAGCAAUUUGAGUUUGUUGUAUUCACCGAUGUUUCCCACGACUUUGGAAUAACAUUCGUGUCCCGAUCACGUCUGAGAUUUUUCUGGUGUAUAAUUUAGGUUCAGUGAGCAAGUUGCCUCAGCUGGCAGCCCGAUCAAAGGAAACACAGAGGUAUGGCUUUCCAAAAUAAUUGGAUUCUAGUGGAACACUUUGAAUGUGGCUGCAGCCUUGUGGAUUUGAUUCAUCCCCAGUAGAUAAUGGCUCAGUCACUGUUAGUUCUGCCCUGUGUGUUGGCCUGUUUGAAAUGGACAUUUUUUAACCCCUUUAGCUUAAAGCAUACUUCAUUCAACCAUUGGUGAUCAUUUGUAUUCCACUACAAUUGACAUUACUCUAAACACGCCAUGUUGCGUGUACAUCUGGAACAUGUUUCCUCCAUUUGUUGUCUUACUGCACACGCACAUGCCAGUAAUCUUCCGGGUUUUAGUUACAGCUCACUUGAGGUGCAGUGGAGGGUGUCUCCUAUGCACCAUUCUUACAUAACAGUCGCAUUUUCAAACUAUUCCAACAGCAUUAAAGUUAAUGAGCCAUACUAUUAUUACAAGGACGCCUCUGCUGUGUGUUCUUGUCUGCAUACGUGGGCACAUUUCACAGGAGCUUUUGUGAAUUUUGGAAAUACAGCGACUGCUUCUGCUAAUGUAAGAGCGUCUUGUCUACAAUAGAAUGAAUAAUACAUUAGUUUAAGUCAUUUUCAUGAGAUUGAGUAUUUUUUAUAAGUAUGUAGUCUAUUAUUACCAUAUGCUCGUGAAAUGUUUCUGAUGUCUUCCCAUGCAGUCCUUGUUUGACACAUCUGUAGCGCGGGAUGGAGUUCUGCACUCUGCACGUCUACCGCCCUCCUGCAGGGGGGGUCAGUGCCGGUCUGCCUCAGGGAUCCUAAGCAGCAUCUUUAUACACAGGGAGCCGCACCUUGGAUUUAUGGCGAUGCCGACACCAGCCGACACCAGCCGACACCAGCCGACACCAGCCGACACCAGCCGACACCAACCGACACCAGCCGACACCAGUGGUCCAAUACAUUUCUGACUCAAUUUAGGGGCCUUCAUGGCUCCUCUGCCUGGUUCCUGCUUUUCUUUAGAAGAAAGUUUUUAGUUUUUUUAGAGCAAGGGUUUUAGAAUUGCAGCCUUUUUUUUAAGCAAAACUAAUAAAUAAUGUAUCCUCUUUGAUACAGAGUAUGAAGGGUGUUUUAGCACCUUCAGCUCAUUGUCUUGGUUUCAAAGCCUCGGAGCUCUCAUGAACACAAUUACCUGCCAUGAAAUCCCAACGUGCACCGGCUGCACAGCACCAGAACAUCAGAGCCAACAGGGGGCGACGCCUCCGAUCCCAUAGACGUCUAUGAGAUUACUCUGCUCCUCUCUUGGUUUAUUCCUCACUGGCAAUGUGAGUUUACGGUCUCAACCUCUAGCUUCAAUUCAGCCUUCGGUUUCUUCUGUAAACGACGGUCCGUUUGGAGUCAAACGGAGCAUAAACGCUUUAGGGCGGGGCUACAUUUUGAUUGGCACAUCACCACCACGGCAUUCCUAAUUCUUUUCUUGUAACGUUACCUCCUCAACUACUUUCAUUUGAUGAAAGGUUAUUACAACAUGUUAGUUGCCUACACGUGACUUAUUCAGCAUUACUGACACAUUUCUAAAUACAUGUUUGUAAUUCUGUCACUGUAUCCGUCGUUCCCUCCUCAGUGGAUUCAGCAGGACAUCGUGAGCUGUACAGAAACUAAGACCUGAAUGUCUUCAAUGUAACUCUUUAAUGUUGGGAGCACAGCAAAUGAAAUCCCCUUCGUGUACAUUGUAACAAAUACAACCAAGACCGUCUUCAUGGCUUGAUAACACUUAGUGAGAGACAAUGUUGCUCAUUUGUGAAGGAAUCAUGAAUGGAAGAUUAAAAACAUCUCAAAUCCGUCUCUCCAGUCUGUUUUACGCUUCAUGAGCAAAAUGAACCCUGACACAUUCGUCCCUGUCUGACAGUUCACCACUUGAGCCUCUCAAAGGGAAUUAUGUGGGAUUAGCAUGACGCCUUUACAUGGAUCCUGCUGCCAUUUACAUUCUGAGCCUCUCUGUGGGAAACGGAAUAUUGGAACAUUGUUUCUUCUAAUAUACAAGAACAGAAACGGCAUUGAAAGGUGUGUUAACCCACAGAUGAUGACGAGAUGGAACGGCGCCAUGGAACACGAGUUGAAACAUCAACACGGACUGAGAAAGCCCCUCUGGUGACGUCGGGGGGGGGCAGAGACAGCGCUGUGAGCGGAAGACCAGGAUUACUAUUGAGAAAAACACAAUCUUCACCUAGAAUGGUUCAAUAUGACAUUAAGGCUGUGAUGUAUUUCUCUAAUGUUCUCUAUUAUU